AAACGAUGUCGACUUGGAGGUUGUGCCCUUGAGGCGUGGCUUCCGGAGCUAACGCGUUAAGUCGACCGCCUGGGGAGUACGGCCGCAAGGUUAAAACUCAAAUGAAUUGACGGGGGCCCGCACAAGCGGUGGAGCAUGUGGUUUAAUUCGAUGCAACGCGAAGAACCUUACCUGGUCUUGACAUCCACAGAACUUUCCAGAGAUGGAUUGGUGCCUUCGGGAACUGUGAGACAGGUGCUGCAUGGCUGUCGUCAGCUCGUGUUGUGAAAUGUUGGGUUAAGUCCCGCAACGAGCGCAACCCUUAUCCUUUGUUGCCAGCGGUCCGGCCGGGAACUCAAAGGAGACUGCCAGUGAUAAACUGGAGGAAGGUGGGGAUGACGUCAAGUCAUCACGGCCCUUACGACCAGGGCUACACACGUGCUACAAUGGCGCAUACAAAGAGAAGCGACCUCGCGAGAGCAAGCGGACCUCAUAAAGUGCGUCGUAGUCCGGAUUGGAGUCUGCAACUCGACUCCAUGAAGUCGGAAUCGCUAGUAAUCGUGGAUCAGAAUGCCACGGUG
Molecule: ribosomal RNA, 560 nt
Filed under: Escherichia sp.
Lineage: Bacteria; Pseudomonadati; Pseudomonadota; Gammaproteobacteria; Enterobacterales; Enterobacteriaceae
Description: bacterial SSU rRNA
Rfam family: Bacterial small subunit ribosomal RNA
Source: RNAcentral